UACCACCGGCGGCACGGGGUUGCAGUCCUCGUCCCCUAGGCGGGGUCCGGCGGGGGUGAACGUCGAGGCGCGGGUUCCGGCCCCCGCCGGUGAGAGC
This 97-nucleotide transfer RNA is filed under the name Streptomyces spongiicola. RNAcentral describes it as "tRNA-Pro". The record is from RNAcentral. Lineage: Bacteria; Bacillati; Actinomycetota; Actinomycetes; Kitasatosporales; Streptomycetaceae.